RNAcentral lists this ribosomal RNA (254 nucleotides) under uncultured bacterium. RNAcentral's name for it is "partial 16S ribosomal RNA". It matches the Rfam family "Bacterial small subunit ribosomal RNA", at positions 524 to 776 of the family's 1533-position model. The record is from RNAcentral.
UACGAGGGGGGGCAAGCGUUGUUCGGAUUUACUGGGCGUAAAGGGCGCGUAGGCGGCAAUUCAAGUCAUCUGUGAAAUCUCCGGGCUUAACUCGGAACGGUCAGAUGAUACUGCUUUGCUAGAGUGCAGAAGGGGCAAUCGGAAUUCUCGGUGUAGCGGUGAAAUGCGUAGAUAUCGAGAGGAACACCAGAGGUGAAGACGGGUUGCUGGGCUGACACUGACGCUGAGGCGCGAAAGCCAGGGGAGCAAACGGG